AAAAACAUCUUUUCUUGUUAUUUAUUUGAGAUUUGACCUGCCCAAUGAUAUUUUAAUGGCCGCGGUAUUUUGACCGUGCAAAGGUAGCAUAAUUCAUUAGUCAUUUAAUUGUUGACUUGUAUGAAUGGUUGGACGAAGUAUUAACUGUCUUAUUUAUAUUUUUAGAAUUUAAAUUUUGAGUUAAAAUGCUUAAAUUUUUUUAUAGGACGAGAAGACCCUGUAGAUCUUUAUUUAUUAAAUUUAUAUUAUAUUUUGGCUUAUUUAUUUAAUAUAUUUUAUUAUUUUUUGUUGGGGUGACAAGGAGAUAAAAUUAACUCUUUAUUUUUAUAUUCAUUAAUUUAUGAUUUUUUGACCUUUUAUUAAUGUUAUAAGAUAUAGAUACCUCAGGGAUAACAGCGUAAUUCUUUUUGAGAGUUCAUAUCGACAAAGGAGAUUGCGACCUCGAUGUUGGAUUAAGAUUAUAGAUAGGUGUAGAAGCUUAUUAAUUAAGUCUGUUCGACUUUUAAAAUCUUACAUGAUC
Molecule: ribosomal RNA, 520 nt
Filed under: Clonopsis soumiae
Lineage: Eukaryota; Metazoa; Arthropoda; Insecta; Phasmatodea; Bacillidae
Description: partial large subunit ribosomal RNA
Rfam family: Bacterial large subunit ribosomal RNA
Source: RNAcentral